Lutra lutra (Eurasian river otter) is the source of this 603-nucleotide long non-coding RNA. RefSeq lists it as uncharacterized. The transcript has 2 exons. The record is from RefSeq and is a predicted model, not a curated record. NCBI's taxonomy places the organism in Eukaryota, Metazoa, Chordata, Mammalia, Carnivora, Mustelidae.
GAGACAGCCUCUGGCCACACUGAGAGCAGAGCGGGCGGAGGCCACCCAGAAUGUGCUCCUGAUCUCAGCCGGGCAGCUGGAACAGGAGGAUGUAAGGAGCACCUGGCUGGGGCAGCCCACGAGUGGCAGCCGGUGUCGCGGGGGCGGGGGGAGCAGAGCACAUGCUUCAAGGUUUCUGGGUGGACAAGAGGCAUGGGGCUGUGGGAGCUCUGCAUGCCCUUGGGCUCUGGGAAGAGCUCAGGCCCAGGCUUCUAGGAUCCCUGCGGUUUGGGAGUCCCCAGUACUGGCCAGUUGACACCAAGACCUGGCUGGGUCACCUCAACCAGCUGGUGAGGGCCAGGCCCCACCCCUGGCAGCUUUUAUCCCAGUGGGGCUGUGCCGCACCCCCCCGGGGCCGCUCAGUCUGCGGAAAGGCACAGAGAAGCGGCACUUGGCUGGCUCAGAAGUGUCUUUAAUGACUCCAGACUGUGCCCCUCCCCAGCCCAGAUGCUAUCCUUAGCGAGCAGCCAGCAAAGGUCCCCUGCGAGUCUCAGGAGGGGUCCAGGGGCCUGGGGCCUGGAGGGACUGGGGCAUCCUCUCUGUCUGUGACCUGGGGCUGAGGGA